CCUGUCUUUAUGCCAGGAGAUCUGCGUUUUAGGUUCUUAGAGAGCUGCUGGUUUCGACAAUGAGCUUUAUAUGUGAAACCAAAGCAGCGCGCUUCAAAGAAGAGCGGAGGUUCACAGGUGUUUGAGUUUGCUGUAACUCCACGGGCUUAUCAGGUGAACUCGCCGAGAUCUUCCUUUCAAUGAGAACACCGGGGAUUCAUUUUACUCUGUAUGUUUGUUAGCGUUAGCAUUAGCACUGACGCUGUAACCAACUUUAGCGUGAUCUCACCAUCUACUUAGAGGCGACUGGACCAAAGCUGUAUACUAUCAUUAUCUGGAGUUUGAUGGUUCUUAAAGAUGUCUCAAAGUAGCUGCGUUUACAUGGGCAUAAAUAGUCGGAAUAAAUGCCCGAUCGGAAUAAAAAUAAAUGCGUCAUUUGGAAGAUUCUGAUCCAAUUCGGCUCAAUCGGAAAGAAAUUGUAUUCCGAUCGAGGGGGCUGGUUUAUGCCGAUCGUUAUUCCGAAACGUCCAUAUAAACACUUAAUUCCGAUCGUGACUCUCUUACCUGACUCCAUCUUCAUUCUUUAGUCUUGGGUUUAUUUAUUGAGGCCGGUACAGGAGGUCUCAUUAUUAACACUCUGGCUUAAAACAAAACCGCAGGUGCCGUGUCUGCUCUUCCGGUAACAUAACACGGCGUACAUACAGCGUAAUGAUGUCACAUCUGCACGCACAGUGCAACCUUUGACAGAACAGUAAAAUAAGUACGCAAGGGCGCCAUCUAGUGACAACAUUUAACAGGGGGAAAACUCUUGAGUUGGAUGGAGUGUGCCACUUUGGGUGGCAGUAGCUCAGGAGACUGCUCCUUGGGCAAGAUACUUAACCCACCUUGCUCCCAGUGUGUGUCCUCCACUGGUGUAUGAGUGUUGUGUGUUGGUGGUCGGAGAGUCCAUAGGCGCAAUGAAUGAUGUAUUCAGGGUCAAACACUUUGAGGGUCUCUAAUGAAGUGCUAUAUGAUAUCUGAUGCAUUAUUUACUACUGCAUUUGUUGACAGCACAGGCGUAAAUACAACUCUUCUUCUGCGGUUGUUUUAGCAAAAAAUGCCCUUAAUCUGAAUUAAACUUGGUGCAUGCAUAAACAUCAUGAUCAGAUUAUUUAAUUAUGAACCCGUAUAAACAGUGGAUUCAGAUUAUCCGAUCCCUCAUAUUUUUAAUCCGAUCGAGAAAUUUUGCCCAUGUAAACGUGGCUACUUUUGACGUUACUGAAGCCCGAAGAUCUAAACCAGUGACCAACUAACUGGGUUCAAGUUUGCACGUUGCUGUUUUUGUCAAACUUUAUUUUUGGUUUACAAUUUUAACAUUUCCUAGUUUCAACUGUUUCAAACUUUAUCCAGAACUUCAGGUCAAUCCCAGCCAUUACUCCUUAAAUCAAAGGGCUAAAUUAACCAUUUAGUCAUCGCCUUUAACAAACUGUUUUUACUUCUCUCACCACUUUCUAAUAAGUUCUCAUAACACUGAGCUACUGAAAAUUGAGCUACCCUGCAACCUUUCUAACCCUGAGCAUUCAGGAGGGUACAAUGACCCUGGUAAGGAGAGAAAUAAAUUGGAAAAACAAUCCAGUCCAGCUUUCUGACUGCAACUUGUAGUCAGACUGUGUAGACAGCUCAGUUUGAGAAAAACUGAGAUGUUUAUUGAGCUGAUAUCUGCCAAGUCCGACUAAAUUUGGAACAGCAACACCACAAGCGCUCUCGAGAGGGACGUGCCUUCUGCUAUAACCACCUAAUAACACACAUCGUAUCAACUAGAUCCAUCUGUUGAGAAGACACAGGUAAUGUGUGUGACCCUAUUUUCUCCGCCUCUCUAGCUGAGAAGUGCUGCCUGUUCAGGGUCGAGGAGUGUGAGCGCCGGGGAGCCGGGCCUGCUGUGCUGGGGAGGAAAUUCUCAGGGCGAUCGAUGCGGAG
Non-coding RNA from Xyrichtys novacula (pearly razorfish), 1935 nucleotides. The record is from the annotation of a GenBank genome assembly. NCBI's taxonomy places the organism in Eukaryota, Metazoa, Chordata, Actinopteri, Labriformes, Labridae.